AAGUCGUACCAAGGUUUCCUGCGGAAGGAUCAUUAACACGUAUCCAAACGUUAAACAACCCCGUGAACAUACAACCUGCUCUGGUCGCCCGCUCGCAUGGCAAUCCCAGUAAAUCAAGCCCCGGAAAGUUUUUGAUUUGGGACCUCUGUGCGCGUGAGAAAAACUGACAGCGAUUCAUAGAAGCGGUAGGUCAAGUGACACAAGAUUGCUAGAGGUCGACCACCGACCGGCUAACGUGUAUACUGAGCUUAAAAUCGCUCCCUUCCGAACCCCACUUUAUUGCCUUGCCUGUAAGCAUCCAUACGGAUGGGCAGGCCCCCCGAACAACUGUUAACAAUGGAUAUCUUGGUUCUC
Molecule: unclassified non-coding RNA, 354 nt
Filed under: fungal sp.
Lineage: Eukaryota; Fungi
Description: partial internal transcribed spacer region
Source: RNAcentral